Papaver somniferum (opium poppy) is the source of this 1761-nucleotide long non-coding RNA. RefSeq lists it as uncharacterized. The transcript has 2 exons. The record is from RefSeq and is a predicted model, not a curated record. Lineage: Eukaryota; Viridiplantae; Streptophyta; Magnoliopsida; Ranunculales; Papaveraceae.
CGCACUUCGCAUAACAUGAAUCCAGUAAACCCUAAUCUUAUUCUCUCAAUAGAGCAGCUGCCUGAUUUUUUUCUUCUCGUUUAUGUUUAUAAGAUUUAAUGGAGCUUAGAGAGGGGGCAGUGAUGAUCAACGCUAUAUUUCUGACACCUCUUGUAUGAGAAGAACCCUGAAAAAGUUCUUCCUUGAGCACAGUUAGCAACUCUCUGAGCCCAUCUCCUCCUCCUCAUCUUUUUUCUCUGAAAAAAUCUAUGUUGGCCAGAGCAAAGUCGUCUAGUUUUAAUGACGUAACAUUUGCAUUGAAGGUUGGCUAUAUCAAUAAGCGAUUCUCCGUGCCUAUCAAAAUCUCAAUUUUGAAUACGGCCUCGAACAAGUCGACACAUUUCUUUCUUAUACUCAUUUUUUUUUGUUAGGCAUCUGAUUGUAGUUAGAUUUGUUGUGAUUGGUACUGUUAUUAACUGUAUAAGGUCAAAAAUGAGUUAAUCCAUCUGCUUGCUAUGAUCAAGUAUCCAACACUAGCUGAGACAUUUUAUUAUUUUGUCUGUUCCUUGUUUCUCUUCAGUCAAUACUGUGCUAUUUUCUAUUGACUUAAAAGUACAGUGAUGACACUACUGUGGACUAGAGCUUCUGAUUGGGGCACUUCACCCUAAUAUUUGAUUACAAACCCUUGGCUGUCUGAGCACUGCUAUACAUUAUAUAAUAAUUGCCAAAUGCUGAUGAUGAUUUUGUCCAAUCACCUGAGAUGUAGUGGAACUGAGACCCUGUUUACAGGGAGAACCCCUUGGGGAAAUUACAUUCCACAUGAAAUUAAUGGAUAUUACUGAGGCGUUUUGCUAAUGUAGUUAGUAUGUGUUUUGAGUUUUAACUAUUCCACAUUUUGCGAUAAUUGGUCGACGUGUAGACUGAAAAAACUCAUAAAGUAUGCUGAUGAUAAUUGGUCUACAACACUAUAUGUUGCUUGCAUGUAACCGUAGAAUGAUAUAUGUUUCAUGUAAGGCUAAUUAAAUCCUAUUUAGAUUUGAUUAACAUGUACUCUUAAUAUGAUGCAUUACAGCCAUGUUUUUCAAGUCCAGUAAUUUACUCCUAAAUUAAGCAUAUAUGGAAUUGGUGUUAGGUGCAGUAAGACAAUGUUGUUUUUCAAGUUAAUUAAUUUACUCCUAAAGCAACGGUUUUCCCUUGUGAUUUACUGGAAAGAUUUUAUGUGGCAGUGAUGAUCAAUGCUAUAUUUCUGACACCUCUUGUAUGAGAAGAACCUUAAAACAGUUCUUCCUUGAGCACAGUUAGCAACUCUCUGAGCCCUUCUACUCCUUAUUUUCCUUUUGUUUUAUUUUUGUGGACUAUAGUCUCGUGUUUCUAAGAAAUGUCUGCCAUCAGUCAGGUACUUUUUGAAUUGGGCUAUACCUUGUCACUUAAACCAAGCUUUAGGGCUUAUGUUUUGCAGAGCAAAGUCGUCUAAUUCUAAUGGCAAUAGCAAUAAGCAAUUCUCCGUGUGCCUAUCAGAUCCGAUGCCAUGAUCAACAUUAUUUUAUUGGAUGUGUUGGUUAAUAGUUUUUAUUGGAUGUGUUGGUUAAUGUUUCUUUUGUGUAUUUUGUUGCAUUUUGUAGUUAUUUUCUUUAAAGCAGAAUCUAUCUGGUGUAAGAACUUUUGUGGCUUGUGUCGCGCUAUGUUGAUCAUAUAAAUUGUUCGUUGUUCAUUUUUAGUUGGUUAAUAUUGUCCAUAAACAGGCAUAUAUCCUGUCAUUGAAGGUGAAUUCAUGUUCGAUCU